Molecule: ribosomal RNA, 639 nt
Filed under: Triticum aestivum (bread wheat)
Lineage: Eukaryota; Viridiplantae; Streptophyta; Magnoliopsida; Poales; Poaceae
Description: partial small subunit ribosomal RNA
Source: RNAcentral
AUGCUCGUCACGGCGCCGGUGUUCCUGGAAUUCUGCCGCUUGCUUUCUCUGACCGCGGGCAACAAGGAUCGCCUCUACAAGUCAUGCCGUCAUACACUUGCAUCGGUGCUCUGCUUGCCACUCUCAGGGCUCGUUGCCUCCAAUUCUCCUACCAAGGUGAUCGAGCAGGUCCUCCCGUUUGCCAAUGAAAUUGUCGAAUUGGUUCUGGAUGGACUUGGAUCAGACUCCAUGAUGGUGUCAAGGACAGACCUUGAGGAGCUCUCAAACUUCUUUGAAAUCUUGCGCCAGCAGGUACUCCUCUGGAUGCCAAAGAAUAUGUACAGCAGGGAGUGUAAGCGUACCGACACAUGGGUGUGGGAGUUGCAUGAAAUGUCGACGAACCUGCUGAAAAAGAUGGAUGAGUGUCUCGAGAGGUUGGAGAUGGAUCUUUCAUCUUUAUCAUCUGACAGUAUGGGGGUCAUAGAAAGUCAGCCAUUCAUGGCCAGCCGAUUACAUAUGCUUGCCAUAUUGACAGAACUGGAUAUUCGAGGAUGUGGCGCACAACCUUCGGUUAGUAUUGCUGGCACACAAAGCACCUCUCAAUGCGCUCGUGCGCCGUUCCAAGAGGAACGAGCAUCUCCACUGGCUCCUGAAGCAUAA